AGCUCCAAUAGCGUAUAUUAAAGUUGUUGCAGUUAAAAAGCUCGUAGUUGGAUUUCUGUUUUGAGCGUCCGGUCCGCUCGUAAGAGUGUGUUACUAGGAUGUUUGAGACAUUUUUUGUGAGGAUGUUCUUCUGCCAUUCAGUUGGUGGUUGAAUAGACUUGCAUCGUUUACUGUGAAAAAAUUAGAGUGUUUAAAGCAGGCGUUUGCUCAUUGAAUACAUUAGCAUGGAAUAAUAAGAUACGACCUUGGUGGUCUAUUUUGUUGGUUUGCACACCAGGGUAAUGAUUAAUAGGGACAGUUGGGGGUAUUCAUAUUUCAGCGUCAGAGGUGAAAUUCUUGGAUCGCUGAAAGAUGAGCUUAGGCGAAAGCAUUUACCAAGGAUGUUUUCA
RNAcentral lists this ribosomal RNA (389 nucleotides) under uncultured eukaryote. RNAcentral's name for it is "SSU rRNA". It matches the Rfam family "Eukaryotic small subunit ribosomal RNA", at positions 587 to 972 of the family's 1831-position model. The record is from RNAcentral.